GUUUAUGUAGUUUAUAUAAAACAUUACACUUUCAUUGUAAAAAUAUUAAUUCUAAUCAUAAAUU
This 64-nucleotide transfer RNA is filed under the name Panesthia strelkovi. RNAcentral describes it as "tRNA-Glu". It matches the Rfam family "tRNA". From Rfam's summary of the family: Transfer RNA (tRNA) molecules are approximately 80 nucleotides in length. Their secondary structure includes four short double-helical elements and three loops (D, anti-codon, and T loops). Lineage: Eukaryota; Metazoa; Arthropoda; Insecta; Blattodea; Blaberidae. The record is from RNAcentral.